Molecule: ribosomal RNA, 433 nt
Filed under: uncultured bacterium
Lineage: Bacteria
Description: partial 16S ribosomal RNA
Rfam family: Bacterial small subunit ribosomal RNA
Source: RNAcentral
AACGAACGCUGGCGGCAUGCCUAACACAUGCAAGUCGAACGAGACCUUCGGGUCUAGUGGCGCACGGGUGCGUAACGCGUGGGAACCUGCCCUUAGGUUCGGAAUAACUCCCCGAAAGGGGUGCUAAUACCGGAUAAUGUCUUCGAACCAAAGAUUUAUCGCCUUUGGAUGGGCCCGCGUUGGAUUAGCUAGUUGGUAGGGUAAAAGCCUACCAAGGCGACGAUCCAUAGCUGGUCUGAGAGGAUGAUCAGCCACACUGGGACUGAGACACGGCCCAGACUCCUACGGGAGGCAGCAGUGGGGAGUAUUGGACAAUGGGCGAAAGCCUGAUCCAGCAAUGCCGCGUGAGUGAUGAAGGCCUUAGGGUUGUAAAGCUCUUUUACCCGGGAUGAUAAUGACAGUACCGGGAGAAUAAGCUCCGGCUAACUCCGUG